GGGAAGGUGGCUCAGUGGUAGAGUGCUUGCCUUGCAUGCAUGAGGCCCUGGCUUCGAUUCCUUAUCA
This 67-nucleotide transfer RNA is filed under the name Dipodomys ordii (Ord's kangaroo rat). It matches the Rfam family "tRNA". Rfam says of the family: Transfer RNA (tRNA) molecules are approximately 80 nucleotides in length. Their secondary structure includes four short double-helical elements and three loops (D, anti-codon, and T loops). The record is from Rfam by way of RNAcentral. Lineage: Eukaryota; Metazoa; Chordata; Mammalia; Rodentia; Heteromyidae.